RNAcentral lists this ribosomal RNA (393 nucleotides) under uncultured bacterium. Its description in RNAcentral is "bacterial SSU rRNA". It matches the Rfam family "Bacterial small subunit ribosomal RNA", at positions 8 to 429 of the family's 1533-position model. The record is from RNAcentral.
AGAGUUUGAUCCUGGCUCAGAGCGAACGCUGGCGGCAGGCCUAAAACAUGCAAGUCGAACGCCGUAGCAAUACGGAGUGGCAGACGGGUGAGUAACACGUGGGAACGUGCCUUUUGGUUCGGAACAACACAGGGAAACUUGUGCUAAUACCGAAUAAGCCCUUACGGGGAAAGAUUUAUCGCCAAAAGAUCGGCCCGCGUCUGAUUAGCUAGUUGGUGGGGUAACGGCCCACCAAGGCUACGAUCAGUAGCUGGUCUGAGAGGAUGAUCAGCCACACUGGGACUGAGACACGGCCCAGACUCCUACGGGAGGCAGCAGUUAGGAAUCUUGGACAAUGGGCGCAAGCCUGAUCCAGCCAUGCCGCGUGAGUGAUGAAGGCCUUAGGGUUGUAAA